Molecule: long non-coding RNA, 868 nt
Filed under: Rosa chinensis
Lineage: Eukaryota; Viridiplantae; Streptophyta; Magnoliopsida; Rosales; Rosaceae
Description: sRNA RchiOBHm_Chr5g0058521
Source: RNAcentral
AUGUUCUAUUCACUAUUUAUUAAAUUAUGAGGGAAUGGAGGAAAUGAGGACCAAAAAUUAAGGAGCCCAAACCGAUAGGGUGACAAAACUUGCUCUCCCUUCUUUCUUUCUUUGUUAAUUUUUUUCCCCUGUUUCUGCCUUCUUUGGCUUAUUUUGUUUCUGUUCCAUAUCUAGAUAAGUGAUACAAAAAGAAUGGGUUUGUAUGAGCAAUUAGGAGUGGCUAAGUGACAGAUUUUGUUUAAGCAAAGUACGCAUGGCUUCUUUCUCUUUUGUUUUUUUUGUUGUUCUUAAUGCUGCUCAUGUCUAAGUUGCUAUGGAGAUUGGUGUGUAAUUUCCAUUGUGAUCCAAUAACAUCAUUCUGAAAUGUAAGAAAACUGAUCAGUUAAUGUGCUGUGUAUCUUGAAUUGAAACUGAUCAGUGUUGUUGUGCAUAUAUUCAUAUAUAUAUAUAUAUAUGUAUAUAUAUAUAUCAGAGAAAAUACUAAUAACUCCUGAAUUCGUCCCUUGAAAAUUGAUCAGUAUCUGCUGUGCAUCUUCGUAAUUUAUAUCGGAUGGUAAAGGGUGAGAAGCAUAUUCGUAUUGAAAGACGUUAUUAGACAAUCAAUAUUAGUCAGUGUAUACACACGCAAAUAGGACUUAUAUCAUGCUCAUUAGUGAGAGCUCAGUCAAUAUAUACCAACUUUGACAUCAAAAUCAGAUAGUUCAUGAUCAAGUAACUUGAAAAUGACCAUUUUUUUUUCAUACUGCCUAAUAAGAAGGGUUUGGUUGAGUUUUUAUUUUCUAUUAUCUGUAUCUCUGAGGUGACCUUAAUUAUCUUUGCCUGUUUUCAUCGUCCUUUUUUGUUUGUAUUUGAAUGUGGUAUGGUUAUG